Non-coding RNA from Salmo salar (Atlantic salmon), 53 nucleotides. NCBI's taxonomy places the organism in Eukaryota, Metazoa, Chordata, Actinopteri, Salmoniformes, Salmonidae. The record is from Rfam.
UCAAUAAAUGUAUGUAUUCGCUCUGGAUAAGAGCGUCUGCUAAAUGACUCAAA